This 709-nucleotide ribosomal RNA is filed under the name Phytophthora asiatica. RNAcentral's name for it is "eukaryotic LSU rRNA". It matches the Rfam family "Eukaryotic large subunit ribosomal RNA", at positions 81 to 618 of the family's 3401-position model. Lineage: Eukaryota; Oomycota; Peronosporomycetes; Peronosporales; Peronosporaceae. The record is from RNAcentral.
UAGUAACGGCGAGUGAAGCGGGAAGAGCUCAAGCUUAAAAUCUCCGUGCAAGUUUUGCGCGGCGAAUUGUAGUCUAUAGAGGCGUGGUCAGCGUGGGCGCUUGGGGCAAGUUCCUUGGAAGAGGACAGCAUGGAGGGUGAUACUCCCGUUCAUCCCUGAGUGGCUCGUGCGUACGACCCGUGUUCUUUGAGUCGCGUUGUUUGGGAAUGCAGCGCAAAGUAGGUGGUAAAUUCCAUCUAAAGCUAAAUAUUGGUGCGAGACCGAUAGCGAACAAGUACCGUGAGGGAAAGAUGAAAAGAACUUUGAAAAGAGAGUUAAAGAGUACCUGAAACUGCUGAAAGGGAACCGAAUCGUUUCCAGUGUCUAUAAUCCGUGGCAUAUUUCAUUGGCGAGUGUGCGCGUGCGUGUGCUGUGGCAGUGGCUUUUUGGCUGCGCUCGGUGUGUGUGCUGUGUGUGCUUGCUGGUGCCCUGUGCUGCGGUGGGACGUCAAGGUCAGUUCGUAUGCUGCGGGAAAUGGCUGCCGAGGAGGUAGGGCUUACGCUCGCGUUUGUCUGUUAUAUCUUGGUGGACGAGUCGUCGCGGUUGGGACUGAGGUGCCUACAACGUGCUUUUGAGUGGGUUUGUGUCUCCGUGUGCGCCGUGUGCGGAUAGCUUGCUAUGCGUGUGUGGUUGUGUGUGGAUUGAUGCGGGCUUUAACUUGUCGCCGUUC